CGUGAACAUAGCAGACUGCUCAGUAACACGUGGAUAACCUGCCCUUAGGACUGGCAUAACCCCGGGAAACUGGGGAUAAUUCCGGAUAGAUCAUAAAUGCUGGAAUGCUUUAUGAUUGAAAGGUUUCGACCGCCUUAGGAUGGAUCUGCGGCCUAUCAGGUUGUAGUGGGUGUAAUGUACCUACUAGCCUACGACGGGUACGGGUUGUGGAAGCAAGAGCCCGGAGAUGGAUUCUGAGACAUGAAUCCAGGCCCUACGGGGCGCAGCAGGCGCGAAAACUUUACAAUGCGGGAAACCGUGAUAAGGGAACACUGAGUGCUAGCAUUUAUGUUAGCUGUCCACAUGUGUAAAUAGCAUGUGAUAGCAAGGGCUGGGCAAGACCGGUGCCAGCCGCCGCGGUAACACCGGCAGCCCGAGUGGUGAUCACUAUUAUUGGGUCUAAAGGGUCCGUAGCCGGUUUAAUCAGUCUUCUGGGAAAUCUAAUCGCUCAACUAUUAGGCUUCCAGGGGAUACUGUUAGACUUGGGACCGGGAGAGGUAAGAGGUACUGCAGGGGUAGGAGUGAAAUCUUGUAAUCCCUGUGAGACCACCAGUGGCGAAGGCGUCUUACCAGAACGGGUCCGACGGUGAGGGACGAAAGCUGGGGGCACGAACCGGAUUAGAUACCCGGGUAGUCCCAGCUGUAAACGAUGCUCGUUAGGUGUCAGGAACGGUGCGACUGUUUCUGGUGCCGAAGAGAAGCCGUGAAACGAGCCACCUGGGAAGUACGGCC
This 771-nucleotide ribosomal RNA is filed under the name uncultured archaeon. RNAcentral describes it as "bacterial SSU rRNA". It matches the Rfam family "Archaeal small subunit ribosomal RNA", at positions 71 to 842 of the family's 1478-position model. The record is from RNAcentral.